UAACAAGAACACUGGUGGUGAUGUAUAAA
RNAcentral lists this non-coding RNA (29 nucleotides) under Rattus norvegicus (Norway rat). Lineage: Eukaryota; Metazoa; Chordata; Mammalia; Rodentia; Muridae. The record is from RNAcentral.